RNAcentral lists this ribosomal RNA (793 nucleotides) under uncultured bacterium. Its description in RNAcentral is "bacterial SSU rRNA". It matches the Rfam family "Bacterial small subunit ribosomal RNA", at positions 502 to 1297 of the family's 1533-position model. The record is from RNAcentral.
UCCGUGCCAGCAGCCGCGGUAAUACGGAGGAUGCGAGCGUUAUCCGGAUUUAUUGGGUUUAAAGGGAGCGUAGGUGGUCUGUUAAGCCAGCUGUGAAAUACUGUAGCUCAACUACAGCCGUGCAGUUGGAACUGGCGGACUUGAGUGCACAAGAGGAAGGUGGAAUUCAUGGUGUAGCGGUGAAAUGUUUAGAUAUCAUGAAGAACUCCGAUUGCGAAGGCAGCCUUCUGGGGUGCAACUGACACUGAUGCUCGAAAGUGUGGGUAUCGAACAGGAUUAGAUACCCUGGUAGUCCACACAGUAAACUAUGGAUACUCGCUGCCGGCGAUACACAGUCGGUGGCUUAGCGAAAGCGUUAAGUAUCCCACCUGGGGAGUACGCCGGCAACGGUGAAACUCAAAGGAAUUGACGGGGGCCCGCACAAGCGGAGGAACAUGUGGUUUAAUUCGAUGAUACGCGAGGAACCUUACCCAGGCUCGAACGGCAAUCUGAAUGUUAGUAGAGAUACUUUCAGUCUUCGGACAGGUUGUCGAGGUGCUGCAUGGUUGUCGUCAGCUCGUGCCGUGAGGUGUCGGCUUAAGUGCCAUAACGAGCGCAACCCUUGCUGUCAGUUGCCAUCGGGUCAUGCCGGGCACUCUGGCGGGACUGCCAUCGCAAGAUGUGAGGAAGGUGGGGAUGACGUCAAAUCAGCACGGCCCUUACGUCUGGGGCUACACACGUGUUACAAUGGGGAGUACAGAGGGAUGCCACCUGGCGACAGGGCGCUGAUCCCGAAAUCUCUUCUCAGUUCGGA